CGGACGGUUGCGCGUAUGCGAGGAAAGUCCGAACACCGCAGGACAGGAUGCCGGCUAACUACCGGUGAAGGCGACUUUAAGGAAAGUGCAACAGAAAUAAACCGCCGUGAUUUUUCGCAGGCAAGGUUGGAAAGGCAGGGUAAGAGCCUACCGCGCCCUCGGCAACGAGGGUGGCAAUGUAAACCCCAUCCGGUGCAAGGCGUGAGGGAAACGGGUUGUCCGCCCUCCCUCCGAUGCCGCUUGAUCGUAUCGGCAACGAUACGGCCAGACAGAUAACCGUUCUCGACAGAAUUCGGCUUACAGACUGUCUUG
RNAcentral lists this RNase P RNA (312 nucleotides) under human gut metagenome. RNAcentral's name for it is "Bacterial RNase P class A". It matches the Rfam family "Bacterial RNase P class A". Rfam says of the family: Ribonuclease P (RNase P) is a ubiquitous endoribonuclease, found in archaea, bacteria and eukarya as well as chloroplasts and mitochondria. Its best characterised activity is the generation of mature 5'-ends of tRNAs by cleaving the 5'-leader elements of precursor-tRNAs. The record is from RNAcentral.